RNAcentral lists this long non-coding RNA (754 nucleotides) under Chloebia gouldiae (Gouldian finch). RNAcentral's name for it is "Erythrura gouldiae (Gouldian finch) lncRNA (ENSEGOG00005019344.1)". The record is from RNAcentral. Lineage: Eukaryota; Metazoa; Chordata; Aves; Passeriformes; Passeridae.
GCCUGGUUUCAGUGUCCUGGUUUGUUUGCUCACCCAGAGGUUCCACCCUGCUCUCCACCCAUGGUUAGCACGGUGUUAAUUACUGGCCAUCCCAGUGGGGAUUGCGUUAGGCUGAACGAUUUACAGAUUAGAGCAGUGUGGGUCACUCUGCCAGGGCAGGUGAGCCGUGGUUAGUAGGACGCUGUGACACACUGCCCCAAGCAGUAUCCCGCAGGAUUUGGCCCGGCUGUGGACAGUGAGCUGUGCCAGGGCACGGGGCAGCGCAGCCCGAGAGCCUGGCUGGGCGCCGGGCGCGUGUGCCCCUUGCAUGGGCUCAGCAAACAACUCCCGGCGAUGUGCUUGCCAAAACAAGCCUCAAGGGCAUGGCUUUCGUAGCAGCUUUUAAACGAAACUGAUCUCUGCUUGCCAAGACAGCCCAAUGUGAGCAGUGGAAGUAGGCCAAAGGACUGAGAGCAUCUCAAAUUCAAAUUCUAGUAAUCCUGCUACAUUUUCUGGAGGACUACAAUUUAUUUUCUUCAGGGGAUGUGAUGGACAAAAUAUUCUGCAGCAGCUGGGGCAGCCCCCUGGAGGAUGUCAGGAUCAACCUGUCCAAGCCAUCACCUGGUGUGGUACAAAGCUGCUUCAUUUCUGGCUGGAGGAAGGCAUUUCUCACAAUAGUCUCAAGACUCUGUCCAUGCCAGAUGCCUGUGUAGCUCCCUGAGCUCCUCCCUCUCCAAGAUGAAUAAAGUCAUCUGUUCUUGCCUAACUUUAGACA